GGAGCAUACCUCCUGCGGCCAGCCCCUCUGGGGCUCUCACUGAACAGCACGGCCCUCUCCCCCGGAGGGAAGGCAGAGGGAACUGGGGCAGCUGGUAGAGGCGGGCCCGGGUACCAGGACUUUGUUUCAGUUCCCUCUGCCACCCCCAGGCCCCGUGAGCAUCUGCUUGCCAGAGGGCACAAAGGGUUAGUCAGGCAGUGGGGUGGGAAGCGGCCACCCGCCCACUGCCCAGCAGGGCCAAGAUUCUAGGGAGGCUGGGCAUGUCCAGUCCGCAGGAACCAUUCGUUCUGAGCUCAAAGUAGUAUCAGCUCCCUUCUUUGGCCUCUUGGCUCAGACCGAAGCCUCACAGGACUCCAGGCUGUCUUUUGGACAGAGGGUCUUCCAGGGAGCAUCAUGCCAGACUGGCCAGCUGGGUCCUUCCACCCCAGGCAAAGGGAGAAGAAUCCUUUCUCUUUGAAAAGUGGGAGAUUAAAAGGAAAAGAAUCGCGACAUCCAGAGAUUCAACCCCAAGCCAGGUGUCUGAUUUCUCAACUCCUCCUGCCAGCCUCAGCUCGCUGGCUGCUGGCCUGAUGGGGCAGAGAGCUGGCAUGGCUCAGGGAGAAGCUGAGGUUAGGGAGGGCCAUCCCAGGUGACCGGGCUGUCGCCAACAACAGAGCAGAUUCCUUUCAUCCCAGUGCACUCUCUCCUCUGGCGACUGCCUUAUCGCCUGACAGGGACCUCCCUCCCUCUGACUCUUCCGGGGCUCUGGCACCAUCUUUUGUCAGGGGGGCUGCUGCCUGUGUCUUCUCAGAGCCACCUGAGCCAUAGUAAACACUGUUACAUAACCGCUCUGUUUUUUUCUAGCUAUCUGAUCCUGGUUGGCCGUGUGCCCCGCCCCCACCCUGCCCCCUGAGGCGGCCACCUUUUGUUCCAUGGAUUAUCCCCCCACAGCCCCCAUGUCAACUGAGGUCUGUCCACGCCUGCCACACUCAGGGAUGAUUAGCCAAGAGACUACUGGUAGAUGUUAUGCUCUUUACAUGGAAGGGGAGAAGAGGGUGGGUGUUCAUACCGGAAUGUGGGUGGCUCUGAACAUCAGCCUCAGUCACCAAAAGAAAGGAUGACUGGAAAGAGCAUUUAAGUAGCUUUUUAAUGUAAGUGAAUAGGGUGAGUGGAGAAUUCAGUUUCGUUUCUCAAGUGAGAAAAAGUAAGCCAGGCAUCCCAGAAGACAUAAACCUGAACUCUCAGCAACGUGUGUAUCUGCCUGUGGCUGAUUCAUGUUGAUGUGUGGAAGCAACUGUGGAGCCUUGCCCCAAGGCCACAGGUGCGAGGCCUUGCACCAAGGCCACAGAAGUGGAGCCCAGAACAAAGGUCAUCUCUGAAGCUGACUGAGCCCCCUUGUAAUCUUGCCCAAAGUCCCCCUGAUCAUCACCAGCAAACUCCCUGACCCAUAUUAGGCAAAAAUGCCCACCCCAGUGCUCAUCCUAUAGCAUCCUAACCAAUCACCUAAGGCUGGCCUUUUGGCAGGAAUUUUGUCUUGAGGCUAUAAAAAUUGGCCACUAACCCACGAAAAGCACUGGUUCUCCCUGGUCUGUCAGGAGGUCGGCCCACUGCAUUUCCAAGUACCCACAUUAUCUCUGCUCUUUGUUCGUAAUAAACCCACUGCCUUCUGAAA
Long non-coding RNA from Bubalus bubalis (water buffalo), 1651 nucleotides. RefSeq lists it as uncharacterized. Lineage: Eukaryota; Metazoa; Chordata; Mammalia; Artiodactyla; Bovidae. The transcript is spliced from 3 exons. The record is from RefSeq and is a predicted model, not a curated record.